Phacochoerus africanus (Common warthog) is the source of this 4381-nucleotide long non-coding RNA. RefSeq lists it as uncharacterized. Lineage: Eukaryota; Metazoa; Chordata; Mammalia; Artiodactyla; Suidae. The transcript has 4 exons. The record is from RefSeq and is a predicted model, not a curated record.
GAAAGGGAAAGGGAACCAAGGACCAAAAAAAAUAAAAGUGGGGAAGGGAGCCUUGGAAAAGAUUAAAACCCACCCCAAACACAGGAAAGUUUUCUUCUUGGGUUAGGCGCGAAGAAAGUACACGGGGAAAAAAGGUUUUAAAUUGAUGAUCCCAGCGACAAAUCCCAGGAGGCUUGCAAGUCAACUCGCCCCAUUUUGUGUUUUUAACUCCUUCUGUCAGGUCUCACCUCUUUACCUUCUGCAUCCCAGUUAAACCCUCCUCGGCCCCCUUGGCUGGUGAUUAAACUCCGAAGGUACACGGGGUCUUUCAGUGAAUGAACGGCCGACAGAAAGGGCCCCGCCCCGCCCCCCAGCUGCGUUUUUCAUUUUUCCUCCACUUCGUGCCCUCCAUGAACACAGGGCUAAUCUUGGGCCCUUGUCGAGGAAGAGGCUGCUGAAGUAGCUGCUGAAGUAGCUGCUGGGUUCCAAUAUUCAACUCACAAGGCGCCUUCUUUGUCUGAGAAGGAAAAACACACUGGUCACCAUAAUAAGGUGAACUGGUGGCCGUGGGGCAGGGGCCACGGGCCUGAGGCCACCCUUGAAAUAUGGGGGCCGGAGCCCAGUGUCCACCUGCUCCCCAUUUGUCUCUGCCUCUGUCCCUGCUCGCGGCCCCAUCCCGCGGGGUUGAAAGCUGAAGGCAGCUCCGGGCCACGGAUAGGGCUGCUUGGUAGAAAGUUCCUUUGUUUGACCCCUCAGUGGGCCGGGGCGAGCCAAGCCCUGGGGGUGCUGUUUCCAGUCCUUGCUCGUCCCCGACCUGUUUCAGGACUGCCUAGCAUGAAACAUUUGAGAUUCUCAGAGGAGAGAAAGUCAGGUCAAGGGUGUGGACCCUGUGGCAUUAUCACGGAGUCAGUGGCCAAAUGCCCCGUCCAGGUCAAGAAGUGAGCGGGCAGUGGUACCCACAGCCCCCCUCCCCCCAUGGAAGGGCACGAUUCAGGCUCGCAUUUGGCCCCCACACACUGAUGAGACUGAGGUUCAGAGGGCCAGACGUUUGUCAGGAUCAUUCAGAUCUGACACGAGAACCUGUCGCCACUCCUACCCCCCCAAACGUCGCCCCUCCCCCAUAUGUCCUGGGCCCCACCUGAAUCCCCAGUCCCCCCCUUUCUGUCCUGAUCCUUGACCGCCAGCGUCCAUGAGUAGAAACCUGCCUGUGUUUUUUUUAAGUUGUCUUUAUUACAGUUAAUUGACAAUGUCCUGUCAAUUUCUGCAACGCCGCAGAGUGACCCAGUCACACGUAGACAAAUACGUCUGUGCUGUCCAGCAGGGAAACCUGCCCUCAGGAAUCCUGAGUUCUGGGCAUUUCGCCCCCUAAGGUCGCUGAAUCAAGGUUAGAUCACGCCAGUUAAUUUCCAGGCUCCAGCGAGAUCUUCAGCCGAACAGAAAAAAACUAAAGGAGAUGUGAGAUGUUUGGAGCAAGAAACUUUUAUUAGGUGAAAAGCCCUCCCUUCUUGAACUUAGCUGUUGGCAUGCGUGGAUCAGAAUUAGAUGCUCUUUGCAAGUUAGCAAAAGCAACCCUAGUCCCCUCCGCUAAAUGCCAUCAAAGGAUGUCCAGGGGGCCGGUUGGGGUGACCGCCUCUUUUGGCGGCUGUGACCCACGUGUUGCCCGGACCUGGGAACUGGAUGAGGGCGAGCACCUCUGAGAGUAGGGAUCCCACGAAAACCUACCCUCCGUGCAGCUUUUGCAGAGUAAAAUAAUAGAGCAGUUGCUGGUGUUUCUAAAAGGAUUUCAUUUUAUUAAUUUGUUUUUAUUACUGUUGAUUCACAAUGUUCUGUCAAGUAAGAGGAUUUAUUUUAAAUAGGAAAAAAAAUCCAUAGGACCGUCAACUACAUACCAAUAAUGAAAACAUGCCCCAAGUCCUGAAUAUUCUGGCAUUUGAGAACCUGGGGAGGGGUGCAGGCAGUUGUGUGCUGAGCCCCCCAGCAGAGGGGUCUGUGUGAAUUGCUUAGCCUCGGGUGUGGAGGGGCCGGUUUUAACUUGUGUCCUUGUUUCUGUGGCACACGGGACCCCUGCGCCCCACUCUCCAAGCCCAGAGGUCCUGCCAGGCUUCCUGCAUUGGUCUUCCGACUCCCAGGGCCCACUGGUCCCAGAAUCCAUCAUGAAAUCAGUCCUGGAGGCUCAGGAGUGAGGCCAGGAGACACCCCCCUUUCUUCUGAUUUUCCAUUUUGUUUUUUGUUUUUUUUCUGCUCUUACUGCUCUCCCUCUGUUCUCCACCCUGGCUUCUCUCCCUUACUCCAUCACCAUGUCCUAGUCUGGUCCCCUGGGGGUGCCCGAGUCCAGCCCACUCCUCCUUGGGGUGUCCCAGCACCAGCCUGGCACCAAGUGGGGUUCAGUAAGAGUAUGUGGGAUGUCUGCUUGGACAGGUGAGUCAAUGAAGGAACUCGACUGCCCGACUCAGCUGCUAGACGGGAGUUGUGGGGAACGCAGGGAGUUGCAGGUCCGGGGGGAGGGUGGAUGUGCUUUCCCUGAGAGGAGUGGGCGCCGCCCACCCCCAGCCCCAUUUGAGUGGGGCCUCACCAGUCUCACCCCUUCAUUCACUCAUGCGUCCACCCCGUCAUCCAACAGUUGAUCCUUACUGAGCAAGCCCACCGCCUGGCCCCGGGCUGGGCACCUGCCACGCUAGGGCGUCCCUUGAUGGCCUCUACCUCCCCAGGAGGGUGGGCCGGGGGGCUGCUUCUGCUGAGAGUGGCCUUGCGACUCCAGGGCGCUGGAGCAGCAGCUCCUGCUCCGGAGAGAAGGCAGCGGGAGGAGGGUGCGAGGGGUGGGCUGGUUUGCCUCUGGCCAGUGGGCCCCCUUUUCAGUCAACUCCUCCCUCCUCCAGGGGGAGCCUUGAACCUGCCCUUCUCUAGGGCUCUGCUGCCGGCCCGAGCCAGCCCCUCCUGCCCUCUUGGCCUCCCCCUGUCCCCCAAGACCCACCCCAUGGCUGAGUGCUGAUGACUCUUCUGGACCCUCAGCCCUGAAGUUCAGGACUGAGGUGGGGGCACAGGGACAGCUGUGGUUCAUGUGUGUCCCCUCGGGCUCUGGUCCCACAGGUCUCCUUCUGGAGUUGGGGUCUAUGAGCUGGACCCCUCCCUCCGUGACGCCUUCCUCCCUCCUCUGCGCCCCCAGUCGUUGGCUGGGGCCUGUCCAGGGCAAAGGGCAGAUGACUGGGGGACCUCCGGGGAGCGUUGCAGGCUCUGCCGAGGCCUGGCUGCCCACCUGUUCUCUACCUGGCGGCUCCUUCCCUGCCUCCCUCCCCCCAGCCAGGGUGCCUGCCCACCUGGAGCUCUGCUUGCCCGGCCCGCCCUUCUAUGCCCCCCGUCACUGGGCUCAGGACCUUCUGGGUCCUGGCUGUGCCGCCCUCUGCCUAACAGGUUGUUUUUCCUGCUGCCUCGCCCACCUCCCACCUGCGUGCCUUUUGCCCUCCCCGUCCCCCGGUGCAAGGAAGCCCUCCCCGCUCAGGGCCACCCAAGUUUCCAGCGGGUCUCCGGUGCCCCGGGAUAAGGCCGAGCUGGCCCGCCACCUCCCCCGGUCAUCCUCAGAUGCCUCUUCUCCUGGCCGUGGCCUCUCAGGGUCUCAAUGACGGUGGGCUACAACCAGAUUUUUGUCCUGCUCCCCUCCCCACACCCCCUAGACCCCUCGUCAUCGGGUCCUGCUGGGCCUGCCCAGAUGGCUGCCCUGUCCCCCUGAGUCCCAGGCCCCGCCCCACCCCAGGCCCCAUGGCCAGUCUGGGGGCUGCCACCCGGCCUGUCGCCUCUCUUCUUGCACCUCUUCCCAUCACGGCAUCCCCACGAGCCACCUCCCUCCACAGAAAGCCAAGCCGCAGGUCGGCCUGUCCUUGACGCACUGGCAGCGAGCAUCGGCUGAAGAACCGGAUGGAAGAGGCGGGAGAGUCACCACGGACCGGCGUUCCUUCAGGUCGGUCGCCUGGCGUCUUCGGGCUGCGACUCCUUCCCGGAUCGGGCUGAAGCCAUCAUCUGGUUGUUCUCUGUCGGAAGGGACCUCAGACAUGUGGCUCCUGCCCCCUCCAGCUCGGAAAUCGGCAGGCUAGGAUGCAAGUGGCCUUGCUGGGGGGCCCUUCCAAGGGCCGAGGGACCAGCCUCUCGAACGGGCUCGGCGCUCCAGUGACCUUCGCGUCCCCCUCCUCCUUGAAUUGUCUGGAAAACAGAAUGGACAGAUUUUCUGUCUUCAAAGUUUCCGGCUAAACCUCUUCAAAGUUCUUUAUUGUUUGGGACUGAGACUGAGACACUCAGCAGUGCUAAUGGGUAGUUCCUUUUGUAUUUGCCCUGAAAGGCCAAAAUAUUUUUAUAUCGCUCCAGACAAAGCCGUCUAUUUUAAGAUGAACUCUGUCCGUCGUUGGCCACCGGG